Molecule: non-coding RNA, 2142 nt
Organism: Phalacrocorax carbo (great cormorant)
Lineage: Eukaryota; Metazoa; Chordata; Aves; Suliformes; Phalacrocoracidae
Source: RefSeq, a predicted model, not a curated record
CCUGCGCGGUGCCGGGGCGAAGCAGCCCGCCGCCUCCUGCCGCGGGCGGGCCGGUGCCUGGCGGCGGGUCCGGGCGCUGAGCGGCCGCCCCUCGCAGCUAGGGUGGGAGCCGGGGCCGCUGGCGCGGAGCGCUGGACUGGCGGCUGCGCGCCCUGGUCGUGAGCGCCCCGCCGGCCCUGCGGCUGAGGGAGCCGGGGCGGCCCAGCGGGGCAGCGCGCCCUUCCUGGCGGGGCGGGGGGCCGGUCAGCGCGCGGGCCUGCGGCGGCGGUGCCCGCAGAGCCGGGCGGGGGGUGCGGAGAGGCUCUUGCUCCGACCCUGCCUGUUGCCCUCUCCCGCUGCCGGCUCGGCGCGGAGCGGCCGCAGCCUUGGCCGGCGGGGGAUGCCCCGGCUGCAGCUGCAGGCACAGGGAGAAGAACGGGAAGUACAGCCCUCCGCGGGGGUGGGAUGUCUCCGGGGCUCCAGCCGGGGUAAGGAGCGAGAGCAGACGGGAGCUUUUGCUGGUGAGAGGAAAAGUGUGCCGUUCUUCAGGAACGGGUUGGGUGUUUACUAAGGGGUAAGUGCGUAAAUAGCUAAUGCAAGCUGGAGCAGGAAGGAUGCAAGAGUUCAGAAAGGUGAAGCGUGCUCUUGGCGUGCUGCUGGCUGCUGCAAGCGCUUUCAGCCCGCGAUCUAGCCCACCUGGGGGUGUGUUGGACUGGUUUCAACUAGCAACCCAGAAAGAGGAUUGAGCACGGAUCUGUUGCUGCUUAUCACAGGGUACUGGUUGAAUUACCUUUCAUGUGCUCCUCUUCAAGGAAGCUACAGGGGCACCUCAGUGUGGGGAGCGCAGGUUGGAAGCUUAAUAGAAACUGGUGAAGUCACUGCAGCACCUAAAUAUUCUGCAGUUUUCCAGUACAACCUUUUACAGCUCAAAUAAGUUAUCUGUAGUCUUGCCCCUUUGCAGUGAAUAAGGGUGAGCUAGCCACUGGCCUUUGAAGCUGGUUGCUAUGAAGGUCUUGUCCUCAUCAUAAGAUGACGACCAGAUGGAGAGCUUCUGUGUUAAUGAUGUUGCACCUCAAAGGAGGAAAACCGUAAGUAAAGAUUUAUCUGUUAUAGCAGCUAGAUGGGAAAACUGCUUCAAGGUGGGGGAGGAAGAAACAGUGUAAAAGGAGCUGGACUGACAGGAGAAACAAAGGUGCCCUGCCUGCAAGCUGGAACUGGUCCUGAGCACAGGUGUUGGAGCAGCAUCUCACCCAACAGGGCUAUACUUCUCUUAUUUCCUCUGGCCUUGUGGCCAUUUGUGCUGUGGGGAGAGGCUGUGCAGCUGGUGCAGGUGGCAGAACGGCUGUGUCAGGGCUGCCUGUGAGCCAGGCUCAUGGGGGAGACCCAGCUGGAUGCGGAGCAUUGGAGGCAGGUCUGGGAGAGUCCAGCCAAAGAGCAGGAUUGUGAGCAGUCUGCCGUUUGCAUCUAGAAGAUCUGGAAGGGCAGCCUGCAGUGCAGAUACACCAGGCUUGAGAGGCGGAAGGAGAUGGUUGCCCUUAGAAUGUACCUCCCUGUGGAGCUGCCCCAAUACACCUGCACAGGAUGUCAGACACAGUCUUCCUUUCCUGAGGGAUCAUUCUGCAUGCUUAGCAUGGAUUAACUUUUGAGAGGACUGCUCCACAGCUCAGCUUCUUCCGGACUGGACUUGUGGCUCCAUGACCUGUUUGUGCUGUGAUGGCUCUAGUGGGUCAGGUGAGAUCUGAACGAAGUCACUUUAGGAGGAGUGGGUAGACAGUGGCAACCAGCAAGGAUUCACAAGAAACUGGUCACUGCAAGAAUAACCCAGAAGUACUUGGGUUGCAGUAAAAAGCAAACCUUAACUCAGAGCCCAUGCAGGCACUGUUCCAAAGUGUCUUGGGACUGCCUUGGUCUGUGUGAGUCUGUCUUUUUUCCAGGUCUGCCUGUGUCCUUGCAAGUCUCACAGUGAGUUUGUAGUGCUGCAACACUGCAGCGCUGUUAUGUGGCAUGUCCCUGGCCCCAUGUCUGUAUCCAUCUGAUUUGUUCUUACCAAGCUAUAUGUGCCCACAGGCUAGAAACAAUCUUACACACCACACCCCCCCAGCAUUCGUCCAUUCUUCAAACACCUCAAAAAGAACAUAUAGUGUGACAAACUGAAUCAAAGUG